CUUUUUCAAAAUGUGGCGGUGGCAGGGAAGGUUGUCUGCUCCAGAGGCUUCCCUAGAGUGAAGAGCUCUACUAUGUAUGCUUUAUGCGGCAGAAGGAGUGCUUUGGAGGAGUUUUUAAAUUUGUUUUUUUUUUAAAUCUUAUCGGUUUUAAUUGUAGCAAUGAUUCAAGAAACGUUAGUAGGUGCCCAUAACUUCGGUGGUGGAGAUCCAAAAGUGAACAAGACAGUGUUCUGGCUGCUAAAUUCUUCUUAACUGGUUAUGCCUGGAGACCUUCACUUGGUUCUGUGCCAGCACUGCCCAUGAACUUCAUAGACUGUGAUCUUUGCUAAGGCCUAAAUGAAUGAAGGAUGGAGCCUCAGAAUAGAGACCAGGUUGAAAAUCAGUCUUUUACUUAGAACCAUGAAAGCAGAUACUACAUCUUAUCCGUCUAUGACCUGGUGACCCAGAAGCCAUUAAUUUGACAUUACCAACAUACCUCCACACAAAGACUUUAUAAUCUUCAGUGUGAGAAUUAAACAAACAAACAAACAAAAACUUAAAACAACUUUGGAGGGGAGAACGAUAACCUAAAUUUUAAGCAUAAGAAAAUCCCUAACAAAAAGAUCCAACUAAUUGCCACUGGGGGGCGAUGGAAGUUCGUGAACUGCUCUGCUAAUCCCUGAGGCAACUGAGCACUUUAGUUGGUUUAUUUAUUCAAAGCUGGAAUUUGGACGUGUGACCCAUCAAGCUCAGGGAAAUUCCUGGAUGAGGAACACAGUCCUGGGAGAAACCUACCAAAGAUGGAAUUAGCACCUUGGCGAACCGCCUUCAGCGCAAAGAACUUUCUUUCCUUGUGUGUCUUAAGAAUUUACUUCAGUUCCCUUCUGUCUGAAGCAGAGGAAGCCAAGUUAAACUGUGAAUAAGCACGACAACAAAGAAGAGUUCUUAUUUAUCACUACCUGCAAACACAUGUGCAGGACCGGAAGCAGAAGACAGAAAGUGGAGACCAGAUGUUUGAAGCUGGGUAAAGGCAGGGAUGGAGCAGGAACCGAGGAACAAACCUUGGAACUAGGUAAGAAGUUCUCUCUAUGACAUUUCAUUGAGUAGUAAAGGGAGAGCCAAAGCGCUGUGUUAUUGGGACAGCUGUUUGUUGUAUGGUGGGCUGUUUGACUGAAAGGUCAAGUCACAAGGUCAAGUUCACCACAUCUCAGGGCGAUUUCUGCUUUUAUGAACCAGUCUUCACACCAGCAAGAUUCCUUGGCACCUCAAGGUUUGAAGAACAACUACACAACAAAAUUCACUCUAUUCUGGAUGAUGAUGGUCUCCCAACUCAGGUUUAAAGGGCAAUCACUUUCAAAUUAACUGGACAAUCACUCUCACUCUGCCCCAGAGAAUCACUUUUGAAACAUCAAAACACCUAUUUUGGCUCCCUUUUAUGGUACCUUGUCAUUUAAAUCAUACAAAAUGUUACAAAUACAGAACUGUCCAUGUAUGUUUUUAAUAGGGUCAGCGAUAUUAAUGCAGCAGCAGUGUAAGCAGAGCAUUUUAAGAAAUUCUUCCGGUCCUUUUGGAAUUCAGCUUAACAGACAUGUAUUGACAUAACUAACUUGUUCAAUAUGUCUUUCUGUAAGUUAUAAGUGAGGAGAAAGUAAAGCUUUCCAUUAAACUAACAGAUGAAAUUUUUGUAUUAGGGAUAAUGUACUAAUAUGAUACACACUAAUAGGAUAUAUAUUCCAAAGUGCUGUUACAUCAUUUAAUGCAAAGUUACCUCCUACUGGGAACUAAAUAUUAUUUUACAGAAAAUAUAAAUAAUGUAAAGACUUUCUGGGCACUCAGUAAUAACCUGGGAUGUGAAAUAACUUGAUUUGUGGCACUGGCCAUGUACAAUAUCUUUUUGUUGAAGAUGAUUAUCAGAAUUCUAUGGAAAAUGUAUUGUCAGGGUUGUAGAAUGGACGAUUCCUGUUAUGAUUCACUAGGGAACAAGCUUUUUUUUUAAAAUUUUUUUUAUUAUACUUUAAGUUUUAGGGUACAUGUGCACAACGUGCAGGUUAGUUACAUAUGCAUACAUGUGCCAUGUUGGUGUGCUGCACCCAUUAACUCGUCAUUUAACAUUAGGUAUAUCUCCCAAUGCUAUCCCUCCCCCUCCCCCCACCCCACAACAGGCCCCGGUGUGUGAUGUUCCCCUUCCUGUGUCCAUGUGUUCUCAUUCUUCAAUUCCCACCUAUGAGUGAGAACAUGCAGUGUUCGGUUUUUUGUCCUUGCGAUAGUGUGCUGAGAAUGAUGGUUUCCAGUUUCAUCCAUGUCCCUACAAAGGACAUGAACUCAUCAUUUUUUAUGGCUGCAUAGUAUUCCAUGGUGUAUAUGUGCCACAUUUUCUUAAUCCAGUCUAUCAUUGUUGGACAUUUGGGUUGGUUCCAAGUCUUUGCUAUUGUGAAUAGUGCCGCAAUAAACAUACAUGUGCAUGUGUCUUUAUAGCAGCAUGGUUUAUAAUCCUCUGGAUAUAUACCCAGUAAUGGGAUGGCUGGGUCAAAUGGUAUUUCUAGUUCUAGAUCCCUGAGGAAUCGCCACACUGACCUCCACAAUGGUUGAACUAGUUUACAGUCCCCCCAACAGUGUAAAAGUGUUCCUAUUUCUCCAUAUCCUCGCCAGCACCUGUUGUUUCCUGACUUUUUAAUGAUCGCCAUUCUAACUGGUGUGGGAACAAGCUUUGUAAAUGAUUGUUUUUGUUCUUAGUUGUCCUCUAAAUAAACUAGAAAGGUAGAAAGUGUU
RNAcentral lists this long non-coding RNA (2748 nucleotides) under Homo sapiens (human). Its description in RNAcentral is "HCCS divergent transcript, transcript variant 2 (HCCS-DT)". The record is from RNAcentral. Lineage: Eukaryota; Metazoa; Chordata; Mammalia; Primates; Hominidae.